Ictalurus punctatus (channel catfish) is the source of this 1039-nucleotide long non-coding RNA. RefSeq lists it as uncharacterized. Lineage: Eukaryota; Metazoa; Chordata; Actinopteri; Siluriformes; Ictaluridae. The record is from RefSeq and is a predicted model, not a curated record. The transcript is spliced from 3 exons.
UUAACGUGGCCACUCACAUUUCAGGGGCGGUCUUUGUUGAAUCCUGGCCACGCCCCUUCACUGUCCUCUCUUCAAGUGUCAGCUGUAACAGAAAGUGAAAACAGUCCGACAUUUUGUUGUGAAUCUGCGCCUUCAAACAUUUCAGACAUUAAAAUGGCGUUAAUGCGGUGAACCUCUCUGCUGUGUCCGGAGAUUUCCCCUCAGUUUGGUGAGUGAAGCUGGAGGAUUAUAUCGCGGUGAAGAAGCCGUUCUGAGAGCUGCUGCAGUCUACACCAUUUCUCCUCCUACUGGAUGUCCUCUGGGUUGUACUUUGCUGCAUGAAUGUUCCCUAAGAAAAGGAUGCUGUGGUGUAGUACACGUGUAGUGUAGAGACAGCAAAAAUUAAGCAGUGGUGCUGAAAAAAGGAGGAAGAGGGAGGAAACCAAAACUUUUUAUAAAAGCCUGUGACGUGUUUUUAAUGAACAGAUUUUGCCUUUGGCAUGAAGGCAAGUUGCAGUUCUGCAGGCACUGAGGUGUCUUUCUCUCUCUCUCUCUCUCCCCUCUCCCUCAUACACACAGACAUGCUCUUUCAAAUAUACAUUUCCUCAUACACACACACUCUCUCUCUCUCUCUCUCUCUCUCUCUCUCUCUCUCUCUCUCUCUCUCUCUCUCAUGUUUACACCCCUCUUCUCCUCCUCUGAAUUAUGCAGACAUGAUCAUAUGUCAGUUUAAUGUCACAUGAAGAUAUUGGGCCAUCCAGAUGUGGAUUCAUGUUCAGUGCUACUUUAAUUAAAUAUGAUAUAAACAUAAUGUAUGUAUAUGUAUGUGUGUGUGUGUGUGUUAAAUAUAAAGUUUAUAAAGUUUCAGUCCUGAUUGAGGAGAUGUACAGGUGAGUGGUGAAGUUCUACUACACUGCACCCAGAUAAUGCCCUGUCUAAUGAACAAUGCUGUCUUGAUUGUUUUAUAUUCUUUGUCACACUGUUCUUCUGUUUCUGUUUAUUUUACAAAUAUGACUUAAUAUCUGUUCAGUGCUACUUCAAAUAAAUGUUUAAAAUAGAA